CCUACGGGAGGCAGCAGUGAGGAAUAUUGGUCAAUGGACGAGAGUCUGAACCAGCCACGUAGCGUGAAGGAUGACUGCCCUAUGGGUUGUAAACUUCUUUUAUAUGGGAAUAAAAUGUUCCACAUGUGUGAUUUUGUAUGUACCAUAUGAAUAAGGAUCGGCUAACUCCGUGCCAGCAGCCGCGGUAAUACGGAGGAUCCGAGCGUUAUCCGGAUUUAUUGGGUUUAAAGGGAGCGUAGGUGGAUUGUUAAGUCAGUUGUGAAAGUUUGCGGCUCAACCGUAAAAUUGCAGUUGAAACUGGCAGUCUGGAGUACAGUAGAGGUGGGCGGAAUUCGUGGUGUAGCGGUGAAAUGCUUAGAUAUCACGAAGAACUCCGAUGGCGAAGGCAGCUCACUGGACUGCAACUGACACUGAGGCUCGAAAGUGUGGGUAUCAAACAGGAUUAGAUACCCCGGUAGUC
Molecule: ribosomal RNA, 460 nt
Filed under: uncultured bacterium
Lineage: Bacteria
Description: partial 16S ribosomal RNA
Rfam family: Bacterial small subunit ribosomal RNA
Source: RNAcentral